RNAcentral lists this ribosomal RNA (1571 nucleotides) under uncultured beta proteobacterium. RNAcentral describes it as "bacterial LSU rRNA". It matches the Rfam family "Bacterial large subunit ribosomal RNA", at positions 1 to 1623 of the family's 2925-position model. Lineage: Bacteria; Pseudomonadati; Pseudomonadota; Betaproteobacteria. The record is from RNAcentral.
GAUCAAGCGAAUAAGUGCAUGUGGUGGAUGCCUUGGCGAUUACAGGCGAUGAAGGACGUGCAAGCCUGCGAAAAGCUCUGGGGAGCUGGCAAUGAAGCUUUGAUCCAGAGAUGUCCGAAUGGGGAAACCCACUCCGUAAGGAGUAUCCCUAGCUGAAUACAUAGGCUAGUGGAAGCGAACCCGGUGAACUGAAACAUCUAAGUAGCCGGAGGAAAAGAAAUCAACCGAGAUUCCCAAAGUAGUGGCGAGCGAAAUGGGACCAGCCUGCAAGUGAUAAUGAUUGUGUUAGCGGAAGCUUCUGGAAAGUUGCGCCGUAGUGGGUGAUAGCCCCGUACGCGAAAACAUAGUCAUGGUACUGAGCUUGCGAAAAGUAGGGCGGGGCACGUGAAACCCUGUCUGAACAUGGGGGGACCAUCCUCCAAGGCUAAAUACUCGUAAUCGACCGAUAGUGAACCAGUACCGUGAGGGAAAGGCGAAAAGAACCCCGGGAGGGGAGUGAAAUAGAUCCUGAAACCGCAUGCAUACAAACAGUGGGAGCCCCUUCGUGGGGUGACUGCGUACCUUUUGUAUAAUGGGUCAGCGACUUACGUUCAGUAGCGAGCUUAACCGAAUAGGGGAGGCGUAGGGAAACCGAGUCUGAUAAGGGCGCCUAGUUGCUGGACGUAGACCCGAAACCAAGUGAUCUAUCCAUGGCCAGGAUGAAGGUGCGGUAACACGCACUGGAGGUCCGAACCCACUAAUGUUGAAAAAUUAGGGGAUGAGCUGUGGAUAGGGGUGAAAGGCUAAACAAACUUGGAAAUAGCUGGUUCUCUCCGAAAACUAUUUAGGUAGUGCCUCAAGUAUCACCGACGGGGGUAAAGCACUGUUAUGGCUAGGGGGUCAUCGCGACUUACCAAACCAUUGCAAACUCAGAAUACCGUUGAGUGCGAGCUUGGGAGACAGACAUCGGGUGCUAACGUCCGGUGUCAAGAGGGAAACAACCCAGACCGCCGAUUAAGGUCCCGAAGACAUAGUUAAGUGGGAAACGAGGUGGGAAGGCUUAGACAGCCAGGAGGUUGGCUUAGAAGCAGCCAUCCUUUAAAGAAAGCGUAAUAGCUCACUGGUCGAGUCGUCCUGCGCGGAAGAUGUAACGGGGCUCAAACUAUGCACCGAAAUCGCGGAUAUCCGCAAGGAUAUGGUAGGAGAGCGUUCUGUAAGCCGAUGAAGGUGUCUUGAGAAGGAUGCUGGAGGUAUCAGAAGUGCGAAUGCUGACAUGAGUAGCGAUAAAGGGAGUGAAAAGCUCCCUCGCCGAAAGCCCAAGGUUUCCUGCGCAACGUUCAUCGGCGCAGGGUGAGUCGGCCCCUAAGGCGAGGCUGAAAAGCGUAGUCGAUGGGAAACAGGUCAAUAUUCCUGUACCUCUUGGUAAUGCGAUGGGGGGACGGAGAAGGUUAGGUCAGCCGGGUGUUGGACGUCCCGGUUCAAGCGUGUAGGCAGACCUCUUAGGCAAAUCCGGGGGGUUAAUGCUGAGGCGUGAUAACGAGUGGUCUUGUACCGCGAAGUGAUUGAUACCAUGCUUCCAAGAAAAGCCUUUA